AGGACGAACGCUGGCGGCGUGCUUAACACAUGCAAGUCGAGCGGUAAGGCCUUCGGGGUACACGAGCGGCGAACGGGUGAGUAACACGUGGGUGAUCUGCCCUGCACUCUGGGAUAAGCCUGGGAAACUGGGUCUAAUACCGGAUAUGACCUGCUCUCGCAGUGGGGGUGGGUGGAAAGAUUUAUCGGUGCAGGAUGGGCCCGCGGCCUAUCAGCUUGGUUGGUGGGUAAUGGCCUACCAAGGCGACGACGGGUA
Molecule: ribosomal RNA, 255 nt
Filed under: uncultured soil bacterium
Lineage: Bacteria
Description: partial 16S ribosomal RNA
Rfam family: Bacterial small subunit ribosomal RNA
Source: RNAcentral